Molecule: ribosomal RNA, 509 nt
Filed under: Paenibacillaceae bacterium CL3.156
Lineage: Bacteria; Bacillati; Bacillota; Bacilli; Caryophanales; Paenibacillaceae
Description: bacterial SSU rRNA
Rfam family: Bacterial small subunit ribosomal RNA
Source: RNAcentral
CCCUGGCUCAGGACGAACGCUGGCGGCAUGCCUAAUACAUGCAAGUCGAGCGGAGUUAGAAUGGAAGCUUGCUUCCAUUCUUGCUUAGCGGCGGACGGGUGAGUAACACGUAGGCAACCUGCCCUCAAGACUGGGAUAACUACCGGAAACGGUAGCUAAUACCGGAUAAUUUCUUUCCUCUCCUGAAGAGAGAAUGAAAGGCGGAGCAAUCUGCCACUUGGGGAUGGGCCUGCGGCGCAUUAGCUAGUUGGUGGGGUAACGGCUCACCAAGGCGACGAUGCGUAGCCGACCUGAGAGGGUGAACGGCCACACUGGGACUGAGACACGGCCCAGACUCCUACGGGAGGCAGCAGUAGGGAAUCUUCCGCAAUGGGCGAAAGCCUGACGGAGCAAUGCCGCGUGAGUGAUGAAGGUUUUCGGAUCGUAAAGCUCUGUUGCCAGGGAAGAACGUCCGGUAGAGUAACUGCUACCGGAGUGACGGUACCUGAGAAGAAAGCCCCGGCUAACUA